RNAcentral lists this ribosomal RNA (200 nucleotides) under uncultured eukaryote. Its description in RNAcentral is "partial 18S ribosomal RNA". It matches the Rfam family "Eukaryotic small subunit ribosomal RNA", at positions 588 to 798 of the family's 1831-position model. The record is from RNAcentral.
GCUCCAAUAGCGUAUACAUAAGUUGUUGCAGUUAAAAAGCUCGUAGUUGAACUUCUGAUUAAGUAGAGACGUGGCGUUCUCGCCUGUCUUUUUAUUUAGUCAUCCGUCUGCAACCUUACUGCGGCCUUUACUGGUUCGGGUAAGUGAGUAGACAAUUUACCUUGAAAAAAUUAGAGUGUUUCAGGCAGGUUAACGCUGGA